GAACGGGUGAGUAAUGCGUGACCGACCUGCCCCAUGCACCGGAAUAGCUCCUGGAAACGGGUGGUAAUGCCGGAUGCUCCAUCACACCGCAUGGUGUGUUGGGAAAGCCUUUGCGGCAUGGGAUGGGGUCGCGUCCUAUCAGCUUGAUGGCGGGGUAACGGCCCACCAUGGCUUCGACGGGUAGCCGGCCUGAGAGGGCGACCGGCCACAUUGGGACUGAGAUACGGCCCAGACUCCUACGGGAGGCAGCAGUGGGGAAUAUUGCACAAUGGGCGCAAGCCUGAUGCAGCGACGCCGCGUGAGGGAUGGAGGCCUUCGGGUUGUAAACCUCUUUUGUUAGGGAGCAAGGCAUUUUGUGUUGAGUGUACCUUUCGAAUAAGCACCGGCUAACUACGU
This 396-nucleotide ribosomal RNA is filed under the name Bifidobacterium breve. RNAcentral's name for it is "bacterial SSU rRNA". It matches the Rfam family "Bacterial small subunit ribosomal RNA", at positions 100 to 506 of the family's 1533-position model. Lineage: Bacteria; Bacillati; Actinomycetota; Actinomycetes; Bifidobacteriales; Bifidobacteriaceae. The record is from RNAcentral.